Long non-coding RNA from Clarias gariepinus (North African catfish), 182 nucleotides. RefSeq lists it as uncharacterized. The record is from RefSeq and is a predicted model, not a curated record. NCBI's taxonomy places the organism in Eukaryota, Metazoa, Chordata, Actinopteri, Siluriformes, Clariidae. The transcript is spliced from 3 exons.
CAGAUACAAAUCAAACGUCUGAUCCAGAGGAGACGUCACGUCUAACUCCAGUGUGUGUGAGAGCAGAGGUCAGUCAGCAGGAAUCAUCUGAACAUCAGAAUCCUGAAACACUGGAAGAUAAAACACACCUUCCAGAGACUGGACCUGCUGACUCCACCUCAGAUAACAGACCCACUCUCACC